Molecule: ribosomal RNA, 254 nt
Filed under: uncultured bacterium
Lineage: Bacteria
Description: partial 16S ribosomal RNA
Rfam family: Bacterial small subunit ribosomal RNA
Source: RNAcentral
UACGUAGGGUCCAAGCGUUGUCCGGAUUUAUUGGGCGUAAAGAGCUCGUAGGCGGCUCGGUAAGUCGGAUGUGAAAACUCCAGGCUCAACCUGGAGACGCCAUUCGAUACUGCUGUGGCUUGAGUCUGGUAGGGGAGCACGGAAUUCCUGGUGUAGCGGUGAAAUGCGCAGAUAUCAGGAGGAACACCCGUGGCGAAAGCGGCUCUCUGGAACGGUACUGACGCUGAGACGCGAAAGCGUGGGGAGCGAACAGG